UCAAACUUGGUCAUUUAGAGGAAGUAAAAGUCGUAACAAGGUCUCCGUUGGUGAACCAGCGGAGGGAUCAUUAUAGAGUUAUAAAACUCCCAAACCCCAUGUGUAUUUACCAGUUUGUUGCCUCGGUCGACCCUUUAAGGGUAGGCCAAAGGUAAUAUUUAUAAACUCUUUUAAAUAUUUGGUCAUCUGAUAUUUUAUUUUAAAAUAAGUUAAAACUUUCAACAACGGAUCUCUUGGUUCUGGCAUCGAUGAAGAACGCAGC
Molecule: unclassified non-coding RNA, 262 nt
Filed under: uncultured fungus
Lineage: Eukaryota; Fungi
Description: partial contains small subunit ribosomal RNA, internal transcribed spacer 1, and 5.8S ribosomal RNA
Rfam family: Eukaryotic small subunit ribosomal RNA (bases 1-73)
Source: RNAcentral